This is a small nucleolar RNA of Phyllostomus discolor (pale spear-nosed bat), 134 nucleotides long. RefSeq annotates it as small nucleolar RNA SNORA20. The transcript has a single exon. The record is from RefSeq and is a predicted model, not a curated record. Lineage: Eukaryota; Metazoa; Chordata; Mammalia; Chiroptera; Phyllostomidae.
CUUUCCAUUUAUUUGCUGCUAUCGUCUUUUCAAUGGUAUGAGCAGUUGUACAGAUGGGUAAAGUAACAUUAGGCCAUUAUAAAUUGAGAUGGAAUACUCAUUUCACCUCUUCUGCAUGCAUAGUCCAGACACUG